Molecule: ribosomal RNA, 468 nt
Filed under: uncultured bacterium
Lineage: Bacteria
Description: partial 16S ribosomal RNA
Rfam family: Bacterial small subunit ribosomal RNA
Source: RNAcentral
GACGAACGCUGGCGGCGUGCUUAGCACAUGCAAGUCGAACGGAAAGGCCCUGCUUUUGUGGGGUGCUCGAGUGGCGAAAGGGUGAGUAACACGUGAGUAACCUGCCCUUGACUUUGGGAUAACUUCAGGAAACUGGGGCUAAUACCGGAUAGGAGCUCCUGCUGCAUGGUGGGGGUUGGAAAGUUUCGGCGGUUGGGGAUGGACUCGCGGCUUAUCAGCUUGUUGGUGGGGUAGUGGCUUACCAAGGCUUUGACGGGUAGCCGGCCUGAGAGGGUGACCGGCCACAUUGGGACUGAGAUACGGCCCAGACUCCUACGGGAGGCAGCAGUGGGGAAUAUUGCACAAUGGGCGGAAGCCUGAUGCAGCAACGCCGCGUGCGGGAUGACGGCCUUCGGGUUGUAAACCGCUUUCGCCUGUGACGAAGCGUGAGUGACGGUAAUGGGUAAAGAAGCACCGGCUAACUACGUG